Molecule: long non-coding RNA, 267 nt
Organism: Sinocyclocheilus rhinocerous
Lineage: Eukaryota; Metazoa; Chordata; Actinopteri; Cypriniformes; Cyprinidae
Exons: 2
Source: RefSeq, a predicted model, not a curated record
UAAAAACACCUACAGCUGUGUGGUGAACAAUCCUGUCAGCACCCAGACCAAACAUCUGGACAUCGAUCAACUCUGUCAGACAUGUUCAGACUGUGACAAUUGGAGUCAAAAGGAGCUGUGAUCCGAUUGGUUGCCUCUGCUGUGGUGGAUGUGACACUUUAUGAUGCAGUGUUUCCUAACCUUUUUUCUGCCACGGCAUAGAAGUAAAAAAUCCCACAGCACACCACUAAGCACAAAAAAAAAAAAACAUAUAAUAAUAAUAAAAAA